This 1234-nucleotide long non-coding RNA is filed under the name Phoenix dactylifera (date palm). RNAcentral's name for it is "long non-coding RNA (PDAC_LNC007030)". The record is from RNAcentral. Lineage: Eukaryota; Viridiplantae; Streptophyta; Magnoliopsida; Arecales; Arecaceae.
UCCAUUUGGUCCUUACUUGAUUCAAUCAGGGGAUUGAAUCAAGGGUGUAAAGGUUUGUUGAUGAGCCUAGGUUGAAACCAACGUGUAAGGGUUUGAUUGUGAUCCCGGAAAAACAAUCGGGUGGUUCUAAUCGGUGAGCCUGGAAAAACCGACCGAGUUCGUUGUGAUCUCGUAAAACAACAAGUUGGGUUGUGAGCUUGUAAAACAACCGGCUGUAAUCCGAGGGGUUAUAGUGAAUUCCCAAGUGAGGCUUGGAGAGUGGACGUAGGAGCAAGGAUUAGCUCCGAACCACUAUAAAAUCAUUGUGUUUGUGAUUGCCUUGUCAUCUUUUACUUUCAUUUCAUUCACUGCACAUAGCAUCUAAUUAAUCAACUUGCAAAAAGUAUUAAUUAGUAUUUCACAAACCAUUUAAUUGCAAUAAUUAUUUUAAAACCCAAUUCACCCCCUCCCCCCCCCCCUCUUGGGUUGUCUAUCUGGGCAACAUGGUUGCGUACCUUUCUGCCAUUGAUGCCAUGAAGAAGUUCCACAGUUAAAAGAUGCCAGCUUUCUAGCCACAGAUAUAGAGCUUCUGUUCAAAAAGACUGGCAUCCUUACAUAAGAUAGCUUGUCAAAAGAAACGCAGCACACGAGUGGGUACACUGGCACAGGAACCUCAAAUUAGAAAAUCCCAGCUUGUAGAGUGGUGUCAUUCAGGCCCCAAUUGGCAGAGAGGGUUACACUCAAAUUGGAUGUCGAGACGAUGGACACAAUUUUGGUAGGAUUUCAUGCUAGUGGCUGGAUGGGCUCAGGAUGAUCGAUCGUUACAAACACUUGUUGUGUGCGUUGGCAAAUAACUCCUUGCUAAAUAAGUGAAAUUUCACAGGAUAUGGUGAGCGUUAGAGAGGAUGCACGGCUUCUAAAAGACAAUUAAGCAUAAGCAUGUUUCUAACCUGAGGUUGUCAUCCUCAAGAGCAGAAAAAUUUCAUGUGUGCGGAGCACAAACUAAAGCAAUGCGUAUGUGCUGGUGAACUGGAUUGCAAGCUUUAACUGGCCACAGGAGCCUCAAAACAGAGUAAGAAGCUGGGAGAUAACUUCCAUGAAGGCAAGAAAGAUGAUAAAGACCUCACUUUAAUUAAAUAAUUAACAUUCUUCCACAAAAAAAAAAACUAACAUGCAAACUUGCCUACGAUUUAACUCAUACUUAAUAUGAGACUGGACAUUGCUAAUUAAAUUCCAAACUACCAGAUGAGAAUAU